This is an RNA transcript of Cyanistes caeruleus (blue tit), 2151 nucleotides long. RefSeq lists it as uncharacterized. The record is from RefSeq and is a predicted model, not a curated record. NCBI's taxonomy places the organism in Eukaryota, Metazoa, Chordata, Aves, Passeriformes, Paridae.
AUCCCCGAGCCGGAGGGGGGCAGCCCCAGCCCCGCACGGUGCCCAGCGCUCGGCAGGGCACUGGGAGCUGCUGCCGGCACCACAGCACAGCCACGGCGCCUGGCACAGCCCAGCAGAGCUCCCCGGGGCCCUCAGGCCACCAGUGACCCUGGCAGCAGGAGGCAGGCUGAGGUAUGAUCAGCACAUUCAUUACCAGCAAUCAGGAGCGAGCAGUUAAUGAGCCACACACGGAAACACGAACAACAACACCCUGCAUGUGCACAAGGCAGGGCUGUGCAGAACUCCCUGUUCUGGUUUUAACAUAUAAAGCUUCCAAUGUCAAGAUAACAGAUGGGACAAUGCUUGAAAGAAAACAGGAACAGAAAGAAAAUCAAGGUUUACUUCUAACAUAUCUCACCAGUGGGAGAGUAAAGCAAAAGUGUUUAGAGUAGGAGUAGUGCCUCUCUGAAGAACACCAGGGGGAGACUGACAGACUGCAUCCAAAAACAGUAUCAGAUGAAGAAGGCUUACCAGUUAUCAUAGCACUGAAACCUGGUGUAAGGAAGGCUGCAUAUCCACCCAGCAAAUUCCGUUGCUGGCAGUCUGUUUCUUUGCACAUCUGAGCAAGAGUCACUUUGUAGAGUCAGCAUCCACAGCACCAAGAGGAUCCAGCGCAUUCCAGUGCACGGCAAUCCUCCAGAGUGCCCUACUGGCAAGAAGGCCAGGAGUGCUGAGAGAACACAGUGGGACAGCUGAUCCCAACUCACCAAAGGGACAUCCUCACACCACAGGAGGUCAUGCUCAGCAGUAAAACUGGGAGUGGGGGUUGGAAGUUGGCCAGAGCUGCUGUUGCUCAGAGAAUGUCUGGGAAUCUGUUACUUGGUGGACUUCAGAAUAGGAUGAUUCCUGAAGGAGUGGGUAAAUGAAUCCAGACUCUUCAAAAACAGCUCUGAAUAACCAAAAAUCCUGAGCACACCCACCAAUAUAGCUUCAGAAGAGAAGACCUUCAAUAUCUCAGUGUAAUUGUACUCACUAGAAUUUCUGUCUUAAAGAGCUUUGAUUUUAGGAAACAUAGUACUUAUGACUAUCUAUUAAACAUGAUUUAGUAAUAUAACAUAAUAAACUGAGGUUUAUAUAAACUUCACAUAAGUUCUGUUUAAGCAUAUUGAGCUUUUAGAGGUAUGGUUUAAUUUACAAAAUAAAUAUAAAAAGAGUAGCACCUAUCCAGAGAUGCUUACAUCAAAUUCUCUAUGAAGAUGGUGUUUGUAUAUAAACAAAAAGUUCCAUAAACUAAUAUUAUAGAGGAGAGAGUUAGUGAAGUUACAGAUUUGUCCUAGAAGAAAGCUAAUAUUAUUCUACCAAAAUCUGCUUCCUUCAUUCUCCUGUAAAAUAUCUUUUUCUCAGAGUAAAAGAAAAAUUAUAGAGAUUUCCUAAACAAAUCUUAUAUACAGCUAGAAGAGCUGUCCUAAUUCAAACCAAAAUUACACACAUUCCAGCACUUUAACAGCUAUCACAACAGGAAAUGCCAAGAAAAUAGGGUAAGAAAAGGGCAAGCACAUAUAGUCCAACCUUCUUCCAUUUCCAUGUCAAAGAUUUUCCUAAAAUGCCAUUUCUAAGGAUCAAGUUUCUAUUCUGUAUUUAGCAAUCUCAAAUGGAUCUCUCCUCUGCUUUUGUUCAGACUCUGUUCUGUUCCUCCUUCUGCACCCAUACCAUACUUUGACACAAAAAAUGCACAAACAUUUAGCAACACACAAAGUAGUCAAGAGUUAAAGGUUCCUGUUUCAAGAAUUAUUCUUAGGGAAUAAUUCCAUUCUGCCAUCACUGCAGAGCAGGAACUCUUUCAGGAUUUUACACCUGAUUCAGCCCCUCUCCAUUUAAAGUCUUGCAAUUUACUGACUAAGGACAUGCGUAAAACAAAUGCUGUCCCCACUGCAAGGGGAAUUAGAAGUUUAUUGUAGCCUCUAAUCAUUAGUUCCAAACCCUUGAAUCUGAGCACAAAAUUGUUGUAUAAAUAGAAGGUUAGACUAGAACUCACAUGCUCAGCAUUCUAAUUUCUGGCUGUGCACCUGGCAAAUCACUUUACUGCUCUGUGCUUCAGCAUCUCAGUCUGUAAAAUGGGAAUAAUACAGCUGAUUUCCUUUGAAAAGAAUUUCAGGUCUAUUAUGAAAAGCU